Molecule: ribosomal RNA, 254 nt
Filed under: uncultured bacterium
Lineage: Bacteria
Description: partial 16S ribosomal RNA
Rfam family: Bacterial small subunit ribosomal RNA
Source: RNAcentral
UACGAAGGGGGCUAGCGUUGCUCGGAAUCACUGGGCGUAAAGGGUGCGUAGGCGGGUCUUUUAAGUCAGGGGUGAAAUCCUGGAGCUCAACUCCAGAACUGCCUUUGAUACUGAAGAUCUUGAGUUCGGGAGAGGUGAGUGGAACUGCGAGUGUAGAGGUGAAAUUCGUAGAUAUCGUAAGGAAGACCAGUGGCGAAGGCGGGUCUCUGGGCAUGUCCUGACGCUGAGGAGCGAAAGCGUGGGGAGCAAACAGG